UUCUCUAUACUUUUUUUUUUUGUAUAUAUAUAAAAAAAUUAAUAUAUACAGGUUCCGUAGGUGAACCUGCGGAAGGAUCAUU
RNAcentral lists this ribosomal RNA (82 nucleotides) under Paratlanticus ussuriensis. RNAcentral's name for it is "partial 18S ribosomal RNA". Lineage: Eukaryota; Metazoa; Arthropoda; Insecta; Orthoptera; Tettigoniidae. The record is from RNAcentral.